This 495-nucleotide ribosomal RNA is filed under the name uncultured bacterium. Its description in RNAcentral is "partial 16S ribosomal RNA". It matches the Rfam family "Bacterial small subunit ribosomal RNA", at positions 28 to 507 of the family's 1533-position model. The record is from RNAcentral.
GACGAACGCUGGCGGCGUGCCUAAUACAUGCAAGUCGAACGCUGAAGGAGGAGCUUGCUUCUCUGGAUGAGUUGCGAACGGGUGAGUAACGCGUAGGUAACCUGCCUGGUAGCGGGGGAUAACUAUUGGAAACGAUAGCUAAUACCGCAUAAUAGUAGAUGUCGCAUGACAUUUGCUUAAAAGGUGCAAUUGCAUCACUACCAGAUGGACCUGCGUUGUAUUAGCUAGUUGGUGAGGUAACGGCUCACCAAGGCAACGAUACAUAGCCGACCUGAGAGGGUGAUCGGCCACACUGGGACUGAGACACGGCCCAGACUCCUACGGGAGGCAGCAGUAGGGAAUCUUCGGCAAUGGACGGAAGUCUGACCGAGCAACGCCGCGGGAGUGAAGAAGGGUUUCGGACCGUAAAGCUCUGUUGUAAGAGAAGAACGAGUGUGAGAGUGGAAAGUUCACACUGUGACGGUAGCUUACCAGAAAGGGACGGCUAACUACGUG